UACGUAGGUGGCAAGCGUUGUCCGGAAUUAUUGGGCGUAAAGAGUGCGUAGGUGGUCUUGUAAGCGUGGGGUAAAAGGCUAUGGCUCAACCAUAGUAAGCCUUGCGAACUGUGAGACUUGAGUGCAGGAGAGGAAAGUGGAAUUCCUAGUGUAGCGGUGAAAUGCGUAGAUAUUAGGAGGAACACCAGUGGCGAAAGCGGCUUUCUGGACGACAACUGACGCUGAGGCGCGAAAGCCAGGGGAGCAAACGGG
RNAcentral lists this ribosomal RNA (252 nucleotides) under uncultured bacterium. RNAcentral's name for it is "partial 16S ribosomal RNA". It matches the Rfam family "Bacterial small subunit ribosomal RNA", at positions 524 to 776 of the family's 1533-position model. The record is from RNAcentral.